RNAcentral lists this non-coding RNA (515 nucleotides) under Pan troglodytes (chimpanzee). The record is from RNAcentral. Lineage: Eukaryota; Metazoa; Chordata; Mammalia; Primates; Hominidae.
CAGUUUUCACAGGCCUGUGUGCCGAGAGUGUUCCUUACCAUUGUUUCAUUAUUAUUCAGCUAGGGAGGAUUUUUAGACAUUAUGUUCCUAGUCAAGCCCUCAACUCUGCAAUGAAAUUAUAAUACCACUGUUGACCCAAAGCUGAGCAGCAAGCACUAGAACUGAGGGAAAUCAUGGUGAGAUUUAUUCUGAGCCAAGCUGGAGGACUUAGGCCCAGGAACACAGAAUCUGUGUCCACUGAGAGUGUAUCUCAAAGCAGGCUCCAUGAGGCAUCGUGCACUUACAUUUUCUAACAGGCGGACGUAUGUGGCCCAGAAGGUGGGAGAGGCAAGCGGUGACCAGCCGUGAUGUUCCUGAGAUUCUGAUGAGCGCUCGGUGGCACUGCCCACACGAUAAGGGAGACAUGAGACAUCAGUCAACACAUGUAGGAUGAACAUUGGUUCGGUCUGGAAAGGCGGGACAACUCGAAGCAAAGGCAGGAAGACUCGAAGCAGACGGGGGCUUCCAGGUCAUAG